Molecule: ribosomal RNA, 336 nt
Filed under: uncultured fungus
Lineage: Eukaryota; Fungi
Description: eukaryotic LSU rRNA
Rfam family: Eukaryotic large subunit ribosomal RNA
Source: RNAcentral
UGACCUCAAAUCGGGUGAGACUACCCGCUGAACUUAAGCAUAUCAAUAAGCGGAGGAAAAGAAACUAACAAGGAUUCCCCUAGUAACUGCGAGUGAAGCGGGAAAAGCUCAAAUUUAAAAUCUGGCGGUCUUUGGCCGUCCGAGUUGUAAUUAAAAGAAGCGUUCUUCCGCGCCGAACCGUGCACAAGUCUCCUGGAAUGGAGCGUCAUAGAGGGUGAGAAUCCCGUCUUUGGCACGGAUGCCCGGUGCUUCUGUGAUGCGCUCUCGAAGAGUCGAGUUGUUUGGGAAUGCAGCUCAAAUGGGGUGGUGAACUCCAUCUAAAGCUAAUUAUUGGGC